UUUAUAAAUGUUUUAUUUCAGAGGGGGGGCCGCCAACACCUGCUGCCUAAUAAAUACCAUGUAAUGUUAUCCAUCCACACCCAGACUAAAUGAUCAAGCAGCAGCCAUUGCUUUCUUUAAUUAGAGCCAGAGAUCAUGCACAAGCAAGAAGGCCCAGAUGAAGGAGAUCUAUAACAAGGCAGCCAGCUAUUCAAAUGCAAGAAGCAUCCCUUAAAUGCAAGGCAAGGCUCUCCAAAAAAAAAAGAAAAGAAAAGAGCAGAGGGUGAGAAAAAAAUCUAGCCGAGUGCUUUAUUCUUCCUAUUAUUUCAAUACACAUCUGUUUACUUCUUAUUUGCACUGGAUGCAGGAUCCUUAAGACUUAAAGAAGGCAGGUAAAGAAAAUGGAUGUCUUUAGCUUUGGAAAUAAGGAUGGUGGAUUUAUAAUGCAGAGAUGAUUGGAGAAGAUGCUGCCUGGAAAUGGAUACUAUCUCGAUCUUGGAGGAGAGAGAACAUCAGCCUCCAGAUGGAAGGAGAAUAUGGCAUUUUGGGCUGUGCCUCUGGUCUCAGGCUGCAAUGAGUGACAGAUUUAGAUAUAUUUGUGGAUGGGCAAGUUUGCAAGAAACCUCGAGCUAAGGGAGGCAAAAAUCCAUGUGUCCAGCUGGCAGCUGUUGGCUUUUGGAGUCUUCACGCGUCACCUUUGACAUGUUGCCUUUUGGGGGCGAGCAGAGACCUCCAUCCACUGACCAGUGCAAGCUGUCACCUACAACACAAGGCAGCAAGAGAGGGGGAUAUGGGGGCGUCAGCAGCCCCUCACCGAAAUCACCUCUUAUCAUACUUUGUGUUCAGAUCUUGCUGCUUAGUCUUUUAUAGGUAAAGAGGCGGGGGAUGGGUU
This is a long non-coding RNA of Spea bombifrons (plains spadefoot toad), 871 nucleotides long. RefSeq lists it as uncharacterized. The transcript is spliced from 3 exons. The record is from RefSeq and is a predicted model, not a curated record. NCBI's taxonomy places the organism in Eukaryota, Metazoa, Chordata, Amphibia, Anura, Pelobatidae.